RNAcentral lists this ribosomal RNA (468 nucleotides) under uncultured bacterium. RNAcentral describes it as "partial 16S ribosomal RNA". It matches the Rfam family "Bacterial small subunit ribosomal RNA", at positions 28 to 507 of the family's 1533-position model. The record is from RNAcentral.
GACGAACGCUGGCGGCGUGCUUAACACAUGCAAGUCGAACGGAAAGGCCCGGCUUUUGUGGGGUGCUCUAGUUGCGAACGGGUAAGUAACACGUGAGUAACCUGUCCUUGACUUUGGGAUAACUUCAUGAAACUGGGGCUAAUACCGGCUAGGAGCUCCUGCUGCAUGGUGGGGGUUGGAAAGUUUCGGCGGUUGGGGAUGGACUCGCGGCUCAUCAGCUUGUUGGUUGGGUAGUGGCUUACCAAGGCUUUGACGGGUAGCCGGGCUGAGAGGGUGACCGGCCCAAUUAGGAUGGAGAUACGGCCCAGACUCCUACGGGAGGCAGCAGUGGGGAAUAGUGCAUAGUGGGCUGAAGCCUGAUGCAGCCACGCCGCGCGCGGGAUGACGGCCAUCGGGUUGUAAACCGCUUUCGCCUGUGACGAAGCGUGAGUGACGGUAAUGGGUAAAGAAGCACCGGCUAACUACGUG